RNAcentral lists this long non-coding RNA (2133 nucleotides) under Olea europaea subsp. europaea. Lineage: Eukaryota; Viridiplantae; Streptophyta; Magnoliopsida; Lamiales; Oleaceae. The record is from RNAcentral.
UAAAUGUAUGUGUUACAGAUUUGGGUGUAUAAGACAAUUCCUGUACUAGGGGCCGGCUUUGCGCAGCGAGGGGAGACACGUUGCCCUCGGAUGCAUCAUUGGAGAUCAUUACGAGCGGAGGGAUGUCCCACUGGGAAGCAGUUAUCGGCCCUCCUUGACGAUCCUCAGUAAGUAUUAUGUAUUUGUGAUUUAUAUUAUACGUAGUUUAAAAUUUUGUUUACAUGAUCGUUAAGUAGUUGAAAUGUCAAUAUGUCAGUUUGAAGUCAUACCUGAGUUGACGCCGUCGAUGGAAGAGGAGGCUCGGGGUCUUGUACGGGAUUUAGGCAUUCUGCACACCCCAAACAAGGAGAUGUCUGAUCCGAGCUUGGAUUGAGAUUGGGUAUGUGAAUGAAAUAUAAUUUAUUGAAUAUCGUCGACGUAUAAAUUUAUUGAAUAAUUUUUCAUUUUAUUUAUGUAGGAGGGCGGUCCAGCUGAUCAACGAUCACCUCCGUCGAGGGCAUCACCGCCACCAUUGGCAUCACUUCCGCUGAGAGUAUCGUCCCACCCAUUGGCAUCACCUCCGUCGAGAGCAUCAUCGCCGCUAGUGGCAUUACCUCUGCUGGGGCCAUCGCCGCCGCCAUUGGCAUCACCUUCGUCCAGACACCUCCCCCGUGUGUCUUCGGGGUACAGUGAUGAUUUGUAUGCCCGUUUGGUUGGAUUUAUAGCGGAGGAGGUCGGCGCGCUUUGACGAGAUUUGACGGAGAGGGUCGAUGAUCUGGGACGAGAGUUGACAGGGAGGGUAGACGAUCUGGCAGGGAAGGUCGACUAUCUGACAGGGAGGGUCGACGAUAUGGGACCAAAGUUUACAGGAAGGGUUGACGGUCUAUCACAUGAUAUUGGAAUACAAUAGUUUUCAGUUGUCGACCUUCAAGAUACAGCAGCGACGCUUAGAAGAGAUUUAGCCGGCAGACGAUGGGGGGACAGAGUGGAUGGCGAAGAUCAUGAUCGAGAGGGUGGCAGAGAUGGUGAUGGAGAGGGGGGUCACCCACAUUUUUGGCAUGAUGAGAUAUUGGAGUCAUUGUGAUUGUCUAUGGAGGGCGUGGCACCGAUGGGAGGGACAGAGGAGGUGGCGACAGAGGGGGAGGCCUCAAUGGGGGGUGAAGGAGGUGGCCCCGAAGGUCCAGAGGACGCCCGGCGUGAUUGAGGGUAAGAAACAUGCUGUUGACAAGAUAGAGUAAGUGGUCGGCAAGAGGUUGAGAGUGCCGCCAUAGUAUGUUGUUCCCCCCUUCACGGCUGAGGCCAAGAGGAUGACGUUCAUCGAUUGAACGUACUUGAACUUAUUCGGAGAGAUGGACAAUGCCAAGUGGAAAGCGUUUGAGACAAAGUGGAGGAGAAUUAUCCCCCGGGUAAGUAUUAUAUGAUUUUAAUAAAGCACUGUACGCUAACUCGUUUACGCUUAUUUUAACAUUUCCCUAUUUUUUACAGAGUUAGCCGCACGAUAGGUCAAAGGACGGUCUCGGACCCUUACAAGUGGUUCCACGAUAUCACCACUGCGGGAGCUUGGCUCGCUGACGAUGUAAGUGAACUAUUCAUUUCGUGUUUUUUAUGUAUAUGUGACCUUGUGUUUAUUAAAUGAAUAACUCAUACUUUUUUUGUGUUUUUUGUUGCAGCACAUCGACCUGGCCAUGGACUUGCUGCGAGAUCGAGCUCAAAGACAUCCAAAAUCAUUUGAUGUCCAUGGUCGAGUCAUAUUAAACACCGAGUUCCUGCGUGCCGUUACCAUAGAGUAUCAGUCGCUCGAACUUAUGGGUAACGAGUACACGGUGCCAAAAUAUAUGCUCGAGUGGGUGAUAGGACUGUCACCGAGUGUCAGGGGAAAAUCAUGGGAGGUGGUACACAUAUGUACAUUCCAGCAUGCAUCAAUAAAUACUAUGUUACGUUGGAGAUCGUUUUUGCUGACUCGACUAUAUAUGUGUACAACCCAGAUCAUUCAUGUUUGACACAAGGCCAGUUGGAGCAAAACCUGGAGUCUGUGGCUGUAAUUGUUCCUAUGAUGGCCAGACGAGCGGGGAUAAAUGUACAUGACAGAUUGUGGAUCGUUUGAAACACAAUCACAGCGUGACAGUCCGUAAGGUAAGUGUUUGAACUUUGUUG